CACCGGCGGCCCGAGUGGUGAUCGUGAUUAUUGGGUCUAAAGGGUCCGUAGCCGGUUUGGUCAGUCCUCCGGGAAAUCUGAUAGCUCAACUAUUAGGCUUUCGGGGGAUACUGCCAGACUUGGAACCGGGAGAGGUAAGAGGUACUACAGGGGUAGGAGUGAAAUCUUGUAAUCCCUGUGGGACCACCUGUGGCGAAGGCGUCUUACCAGAACGGGUUCGACGGUGAGGGACGAAAGCUGGGGGCACGAACCGGAUUAGAUACCCGGGUAGUCCCAGCCGUAAACGAUGCUCGCUAGGUGUCAGGCAUGGCGCGACCGUGUCUGGUGCCGCAGGGAAGCCGUGAAGCGAGCCACCUGGGAAGUACGGCCGCAAGGCUGAAACUUAAAGGAAUUGGCGGGGGAGUACAACAACGGGUGGAGCCUGCGGUUUAAUUGGACUCAACGCCGGACAACUCACCGGGGACGACAGCAAAAUGUAGGCCAGGCUGAAGACCUUGCCUGAAUCGCUGAGAGGAGGUGCAUGGCCGUCGCCAGUUCGUACUGUGAAGCAUCCUGUUAAGUCAGGCAACGAGCGAGACCCGUGCCCACUGUUACCAGCAUGUCCUCCGGGAUGAUGGGUACUCUGUGGGGACCGCCGGUGUUAAAUCGGAGGAAGGUGCGGGCUACGGUAGGUCAGUAUGCCCCGAAUUUCCCGGGCUACACGCGGGCUACAAUGAAUGGGACAAUGGGCCCCUCCCCUGAAAAGGGCUGGUAAUCUCACAAACCCAUCCUUAGUUCGGAUCGAGGGCUGUAACUCGCCCUCGUGAAGCUGGAAUCCGUAGUAAUCGCGUUUCAAUAUAGCGCGGUGAAUACGUCCCUGCUCCUUGCACACACCGCCCGUCAAACCACCCGAGUGAGGUAUGGGUGAGGGCACGAACUCUGCGUCGUGUUCGAACCUGUGCUUUGCAAGGGGGGUU
RNAcentral lists this ribosomal RNA (956 nucleotides) under uncultured Methanosarcina sp. Its description in RNAcentral is "bacterial SSU rRNA". It matches the Rfam family "Archaeal small subunit ribosomal RNA", at positions 474 to 1429 of the family's 1478-position model. The record is from RNAcentral. Lineage: Archaea; Methanobacteriati; Methanobacteriota; Methanomicrobia; Methanosarcinales; Methanosarcinaceae.